Molecule: ribosomal RNA, 466 nt
Filed under: uncultured bacterium
Lineage: Bacteria
Description: partial 16S ribosomal RNA
Rfam family: Bacterial small subunit ribosomal RNA
Source: RNAcentral
GAUGAACGCUGGCGGCGUGCCUAACACAUGCAAGUCGAGCGAACCCUUCGGGGUGAGCGGCGGACGGGUGAGUAACGCGUGGGUAACCUGCCCUAUACACACGGAUAACGUACCGAAAGGUACGCUAAUACGGGAUAAAGUUGUUGGAUGGCAUCUUCUAACAAUCAAAGCUCCGGCGGUAUAGGAUGGACCCGCGUCUGAUUAGCUAGUUGGUGAGGUAAUGGCUCAUCAAGGCGACGAUCAGUAGCCGACCUGAGAGGGUGAUCGGCCACACUGGAACUGAGACACGGUCCAGACUCCUACGGGAGGCAGCAGUGGGGAAUAUUGCUCAAUGGGCGAAAGCCUGAUGCAGCAACGCCGCGUGAGCGAUGAAGGUCUUCGGAUCGUAAAGCUCUGUCCUCAAGGAAGAUAAUGACGGUACUUGAGGAGGAAGCCCCGGCUAACUACGUGCCAGCCGCCGCAGUAA